UUUGAGAGUUUGAUCCUGGCUCAGGAUGAACGCUGGCGGCAUGCCUAAGACAUGCAAGUCGAACGAGGGAUCUUCGAUGAGGCAAGAGUGCUUGCACAAUUGCUGACUUGAAAUUUUCCCUAGUGGCGCACGGGUGAGUAACACGUGGGUAAUCUGCCUUUAAGAUGGGGACAACAGUUGGAAACGACUGCUAAUACCGAAUAAUAUAUAGAAAUAAUUUUUCUAUAUUGAAAGGAGCCCUUAAAGCUCCGCUUGAAGAUGAGCCUGCGGCGUAUUAGCUAGUUGGUGGGGUAAUGGCUCACCAAGGCAACGAUGCGUAGCCGGUCUGAGAGGACGAACGGCCACAUUGGGACUGAGACACGGCCCAAACUCCUACGGGAGACAGCAGUUAGGAAUAUUCGGCAAUGGGGGAAACCCUGACCGAGCA
RNAcentral lists this ribosomal RNA (427 nucleotides) under Mollicutes bacterium. RNAcentral's name for it is "bacterial SSU rRNA". It matches the Rfam family "Bacterial small subunit ribosomal RNA", at positions 1 to 393 of the family's 1533-position model. The record is from RNAcentral. Lineage: Bacteria; Bacillati; Mycoplasmatota; Mollicutes.